Physcomitrium patens is the source of this 2492-nucleotide RNA transcript. RefSeq lists it as uncharacterized. The record is from RefSeq and is a predicted model, not a curated record. Lineage: Eukaryota; Viridiplantae; Streptophyta; Bryopsida; Funariales; Funariaceae.
GUCAAUAAUACACUCAGUCUCGUGAGGACCACCCUGACAAGACCACGACUUCCUCAUCCCCUCGGAAUGCGGCACCGUGGGCCAGCGAAACUAAGCAAACUAGCAAGCAAGCAAUCAUGUCCAGACCCCAUAAUCUCGCUGCCCAAGUCAAAAGGUUCCGAGCUUUCGAUCCGCGCUCAUCGCACACAGCGAUGAUGCUAAUCAUGCACCCUAGUAUCCUGUUCUCGCCACUUCAAUUCUUCACCUCUUCCACGACUCGAAGGCUCCCAAUCCAUCAAAUCUUCCUACGACUUCCCCUACCCCCAAUUGCUACUUCUCUCUCUCGCUCUGUUGGACUGGUGGGGAGGAUGGGGUGCGCGACAAGAUUAGUUGACCUGAGCGUAGCUGCGAGAUGAUGAGGGAUGAGAAUGGGCCUGAUCGGGCCGAGGUUGGAUGCUUAAUGAGAUAGGGUUUGCGUGUCUAGGUGAGGGAUUGGUAGGGGGUGGAACAGGUUGCAGUGCUUGUCGCCAGGUUCGACUGGCAGUCGACGAGGGGAAUUGGGUUUGAUUUCGAUGCGAAGGUCUGCGUGAUGCUCUGGGAACAAUUGCAACUACGUGGACUGCUUAGAUGUGGCUUUUGCCGCAUUAGUGUCGUGGAGUUUUUUGGAGCAGGAGCACCGCUUGCAGCCUGGGAAGAGUGCGAAGCCCAUUGAGAAAGAAAAAGAGAGUUCCAAAAAUCAGGUGGUGUGUUGGAGUCUUUCAUUAUUGCUGCUUUAGGAUUUGGCUGGUAUUUUAGGCGGUUCUGACUUGGUCGCGGCGAGUGGGAGAUUCUCACUUAGACACACAGGUUGCACUAUACCCUAGAGUUAGCUCCUCAAUUAAAGUCUGUCUAGCAAUUCUUCUGAUGAGAAUUGUAAUUUUCGAGUAGGAACAGGUUGGUGAUUCCGCUCUGAGCUCUGGCAAUAAUCAUAAUCCGUCAAAUUUAGAAUUGAAUUGAAGAGUUCAAAGAGUUACAACGAUGGAUCGGAAACAUGAGCAGAGGGCUUCAGACUUUAGGGUGGUUGAAUUUGUGGAACCUCGAGAAGUCGACGACAAGGAAGCUCUCCUUGAGUACAUCUCUGUGCGCGAAAAAGAAGCCAAGUUGGAGAGUGUUCGGUGGUCUGGAUACUGUGAGAGCCACCCAGCAACGCAGAUUUUAGACAUAAUGCGCGAAUCCACGACGAUUUUAAGAAAGCACAACGGCAUUCUCCUUGCUCUAGGACUCAUCCUGGCAGUCCCACUAUCUACACUUCUUCUCUCCGGUGUGCUACUUCAUCUCCCGGUCAUAGACGAUUUCGUCAGGAUGGUGCAACUCGCUGCAGAGCAAAGGUUCAAGCAGCAGUCACAUCACUCUGGGUACAGGAGGCUGGCGGAAAGUAUGAUGUCGAACUUGGUGGACAUCCCUUUCUCGGCGCUGUUCUCCCCGCUUCUCAAGGCAGGCGUGGCCUACGUCGUGGCCUCCACCUACACUCGCAAGAGAGUCAAAUUGGCGGAGAUUCUCGAGACCCUGCAAAAGGUUUGGCUUCUUCUGGUGCAGACGUUCUUGUGGACAUGCUCGGUGUACAUAACCUUCGCCUCUGCAUUCGUCACUCUGCUGUGGCUUGCUUCCAGGAUCGGUGAAGCCUCCACGAUGUGCAACAACUUCAGUCUCCUGGCUGCAGCUCUCGUGGGGUUGGCUCUUGCCGCGGGGCUAGCGAUCUCGAAUGUCAUGUGCAACCUGGCAUACGUGGUCACGAUUCUAGAAGGGACUCAAGCAAGACAAGCUCUGAUGCAAAGUGUCCGGCUUCUCAAGGGGAGGUUCGAGGUGGCGCUGCUGCUGUUUCUCGUCACCAACGUGAACGCCACCAUGCUGGACGUUCUCUUUGAGUUUCACAUUAUCCGGAACGCGGACUCGUCUAUCGCGCAUGACAAGUACUGGGAAGCCCCGCUGCUGGUGUACAUGCACUCGUUCGUGCAUCUCUUCGACGCCAUCAUGAUCAGCGUCCUGUAUUACGUGUGCAAGUCGUCGGAGAUGGAGAGCAGGGGCUUCCGUUACGACGUGGAGCAUCUUGCGAGUCCUGACGAUCUGCAAGAGGUGAGGUCGCCCUUUGCAGCUCGCUGAGCAGAUCCUCCGCAUUCACUUGUAUAUUAGUCUGCACCCCCAUUAAAUCGAUUCCAAAUAGGUCGUGGAUGAGGGGGCGAAUUGCACCCUAUCCUUCACUAUUUCUAGCAAUCGCGAUGUUUCUGUCGGCAUUGAUCAUCUUCAAAUUGAUGGUCACGCCCCGGCUUAUCAAGUUGUAUUGUGAUGGUCACCGACACAUGAUGGUCGUUGCUCAUUCUUCGGUGGCUGUGCAAAAAUGGUAAGAAUUACACCAAGUGAGUUGCCAAAGUCACAAGCUUUCAGCGAUACAAUGGACGUAGGACUUAAACAGGUUUCUAAACAAUCACCGAAUUGUAAAUCUAUCAACUUAAUUCAUUGAAAUAUUUCCAUUUUUU